UUUUAAGAUUUUUGUGAUUUUCUUUACUUUUUAAGUAUCGUUAUCUUAAUUUCAAUUUUUUUUGCUAAUCUAUUUUAAUUUCAACUUAACCCAUAGUAUUUAAUGGGGUGUAGAGGCUGUUCGAUUCUCUGUCAGGGUGGUUGUCCCUCAUGAAUAUGACUCCCUCAUGUACAUCUUGGGUUCCCUCCCAUUCAAAACCCUCAUGGCUAACAAAUAGACACGUCAAAUACAAUUUAAAGUAUUAUUUGAAUGGGGUGCAGAUGGUGUUCCGUCCUAAGUUGUUUUUGUUUUGAUUAGGGAGAGGCCUUUUCUCCGCGGGUCUGAACUUGCAAUGCUCAGUGGACAGCGAUGGUGGAGGGAAAAUAUUCAUUUGACGUGUCUAUGUUUUUAUCCAUUGGAUUGUUUAUUUCUCAAGUGUGUUUUUUCAUCUUAAUGAAAAUGUGAGGGGAGCCGGGCCCAUUUACAACCACCCAUUCCUUCUUUUCUUGACCAUUAAAGAAGUACCAUACGAUACUUGGCUCUUGUUGUUGUGUAUCUGUUUUUUCCAUUGUGUUUAGGAAGCAUCUAUUAAUCUCACAAUGAUGGUUAUAUUUUA
Molecule: long non-coding RNA, 595 nt
Organism: Quercus robur (English oak)
Lineage: Eukaryota; Viridiplantae; Streptophyta; Magnoliopsida; Fagales; Fagaceae
Exons: 2
Source: RefSeq, a predicted model, not a curated record